RNAcentral lists this long non-coding RNA (1839 nucleotides) under Homo sapiens (human). Its description in RNAcentral is "HSALNT0191503". Lineage: Eukaryota; Metazoa; Chordata; Mammalia; Primates; Hominidae. The record is from RNAcentral.
GCUCCAGCCUUGGCCAGCCCAGAAAGGGAAUCCCACAGUGCAGUGGGGGGCUGAAGGGCUCCUCAAAUGCCACCAAAGUGGGAGCCCAGGCAGGGGAGGUGCCGAGAGAGCAAGCGAGGGCUCUGAGGACUGCCAGCACGCUGUCACCUCUCAAUUUUACAAGCAACUUACUUCUCCAAGACCAGGUGGAUAUGAUUCAUGCUCUGAAACUAUGUAUGUCCAUCUACUUCAAACUGAAGCUGUCAUUUAAUUUGCAUUCCAUCAAUUGAAUCAGAUAAUAGGCUCUAUUGUAGCCUGUAAAACUGACAAUGUCUCCUUUCUUCAAGUCGCAUUGACGUAAGAAGAGUUGUAUUUUUAUAGAAAGAAAAUAUUUUGCCUAAUCGCCUUCAAAGGAGCCUUGUACACAAUCUCUAGGUGAGGAAUGACUUUGUAAUCCGAGGCAUAAGGUAAUUGUAAAUGAUAAGUCACCUAUUAUCUAUUAGAGUUCAGAAUGACUCAAAAGUUAAAGUGAUUCAUGUGUUUUGCUGAUGGAUAAGAAAGAUGUUUUGAAAAAUAGGAAAUAGGCUCUUUCCUAGAAUACCUAUAAUAUACUUAAACAUGUAAUGCACAUACAUAAUGUAUAUCAUUAUGAGAUGAAUUGUGUCUCACAAAAUUCAUAACUUAAAGCUGUAACCCGCAGUACUUUGAAUGUGACUGUAUUCAGAGAAAGAACGUUCACAGAGGUGAGUUACUAUGAGGGUGUAGGGUGGGCCCUAAUUCAGACUAGUGUUCUUAUAGAGGAGAGUGUGCACAGAGGAGAGAUCAUGUGAGGACACAGCGAGAAGACAAUCAUCUGUAAGCCAAGGAGAGAGGCCUCAGAAAAAAAUCCACCCUGCUAAGAGCUUGAUCUUGGACUUACAGCCUCCAGGACUAACAAGAACCUGAGACCUGCCGAACAGCAGGUGCCAAAGAUGCUGCUGUAACACCACAGCCCUCCCAUCUUCCAUCCUCCACUGGCGCUGAGUGGCAGUCCCAUGUGACAGGAAGUGGAGGCAGAGCUGGGCCAGCCCAGGAGCCACGUGCUGGAGCCAGAUACUCUGUUUUUCUACAAAUGGAAAGUUUGUGGCAUCCUUGACUCAAGCAAAUUUUUCAGCACCAUUUUUCAAGAGCGUGUGCUCACUUCACCUCUCUGUAUCGUGUUUUGAUGCUUGUCCUGGAAACCAACCAUGAGCUGUGAUGAAAUCCAGGCAACUGAGUUGUGUUUCAGCCCAAAGCAGCAAAUGGAAUCCAGCUUCAGGACCAUCAUCUGACAUAGGGGAAGAAGACUUACAUAGAAGGCCUAACCAGCACCCAAGAUCAUGCUCAUAGGUGGAGGAGACUUGCUUUGUCUCAGAUGAGACUUUGGACUGUGGACUUUUGAGUUAAUGCUGAAAUGAGUUGAGACUUUGGGGAACUGUUGGGAAGGCAUGAUUGGUUUUAAAUAUGAAUAUAUGAGAUUUGGGAGGGGGUCAGGGGUGGAAUGAUAUGGUUUGGCUCUGUGUCCCCACCCAAAUCUCAUCUUGUAGCUCCCAUAAUCCUCCCAUGUUGUGGGAGGGACCCAGUGGGAGAUGAUUGAAUCAUGAGGGCGGGUCUUUCUCAUGCUGUUCAUGAUCCCAUUCAUGUGAGAAAGACCCAUGUGAUCAUGAAUGGGUCUCACAAGAUCUGAUGGUGUUAAAAAUGGGAGUUUCUCUGCACAAGCUCUCUGCCUGCUGCCAUUCACAAAGGAUGUGACUUGCUUCUCCUUGCCUUCUGCUAUGAUUGUGAGGCCUCCCUAGCCAUGUGGAACUGUGAGUCCAAUUAAACCUCUUUCUUUUGUAAAUU